Molecule: ribosomal RNA, 465 nt
Filed under: Vreelandella stevensii
Lineage: Bacteria; Pseudomonadati; Pseudomonadota; Gammaproteobacteria; Oceanospirillales; Halomonadaceae
Description: partial 16S ribosomal RNA
Rfam family: Bacterial small subunit ribosomal RNA
Source: RNAcentral
CCUACGGGAGGCUGCAGUGGGGAAUAUUGGACAAUGGGCGAAAGCCUGAUCCAGCCAUGCCGCGUGUGUGAAGAAGGCCUUCGGGUUGUAAAGCACUUUCAGUGGGGAAGAAAGCCUUGGGGCUAAUACCCUCGAGGAAGGACAUCACCCACAGAAGAAGCACCGGCUAACUCCGUGCCAGCAGCCGCGGUAAUACGGAGGGUGCGAGCGUUAAUCGGAAUUACGGGGCGUAAAGCGCGCGUAGGCGGUCUGAUAAGCCGGUUGUGAAAGCCCCGGGCUCAACCUGGGAACGGCAUCCGGAACUGUCAGGCUAGAGUGCAGGAGAGGAAGGUAGAAUUCCCGGUGUAGCGGUGAAAUGCGUAGAGAUCGGGAGGAAUACCAGUGGCGAAGGCGGCCUUCUGGACUGACACUGACGCUGAGGUGCGAAAGCGUGGGUAGCAAACAGGAUUAGAUACCCGAGUAGUC